GACGAACGCUGGCGGCGUGCUUAACACAUGCAAGUCGAGCGGUAAGGCCCUUUCGGGGGUACACGAGCGGCGAACGGGUGAGUAACACGCGGGUGACCUGCCCUCAGCUCUGGGAUAAGCCUGGGAAACCGGGUCUAAUACCGGAUAUGACUCCAUGACGCAUGUUGUGGGGUGGAAAGCCUUGUGCGGCUGAGGAUGGGCCCGCGGCCUAUCAGCUUGUUGGUGGGGUGANGGCCUACCAAGGCGACGACGGGUAGCCGGCCUGAGAGGGCGACCGGCCACACUGGGACUGAGACACGGCCCAGACUCCUACGGGAGGCAGCAGUGGGGAAUCUUGCGCAAUGGGCGAAAGCCUGACGCAGCGACGCCGCGUGAGGGAUGACGGCCUCGG
This 391-nucleotide ribosomal RNA is filed under the name uncultured bacterium. RNAcentral's name for it is "bacterial SSU rRNA". It matches the Rfam family "Bacterial small subunit ribosomal RNA", at positions 28 to 420 of the family's 1533-position model. The record is from RNAcentral.